RNAcentral lists this ribosomal RNA (1423 nucleotides) under metagenome. RNAcentral describes it as "bacterial SSU rRNA". It matches the Rfam family "Bacterial small subunit ribosomal RNA". The record is from RNAcentral.
GAAUUUGAUCCUGGUUCAGGAUGAACGCUGGCGGCGUGCCUUAAGCAUGCAAGUCGAACGAAAGCGGUAGCAAUACCGAUUUAGUGGCAGACGGGUGAGUAACGCGUAGGAAUCUACCUCUGGGCGGACCAUAGCUUUCCGAAAGGGAAGGUAAUAGUCCAUAGUCUCGUAAGAGUAAAGCGAUCAACUUCGCACCGAGAGAGGAGCCUGCGUCCUAUCAGCUUGUUGGUGGGGUAAAAGCCUACCAAGGCGAUGACGGGUAGCUGGACUGAGAGGUCGGUCAGCCACAACUGCACUGAAACACGGGCAGUACACCUACGGGUGGCAGCAACUGGGAAUAUUGCGCAAUGGGGGAAACCCUGACGCAGCGACGCCGCGUGGAGGAUGAAGGCCUAUGGGUCGUAAACUCCUUUUGCCAAGCCGUUCACAGCUUGGAGAAUAAGCCUCUACUAACUACGUGCCAGAAGUCUCGGUAAUACGUAGGAGGCAAGCGUUAUCCGGAUUCAUUGGGCGUAAAGUGUGCGUAGGCGUUUUGAUAAGUUGUAUCUUAAAUACUGAGGCUCAACCUCGGGACUGGAUACAAUACUAUUAAAAUUGAGGAUUGACAGGGAUGCUAGAACAGUAAGUGUAGCAGUGAAAUGCGUUGAUAUUUACUGGAAUACCAAAGGCGAAGGCAGGCAUCUGGGUUUUUCCUGACGUUGAGGCACGAAAGCUAGGGUAGCGAAACAGAUUAGAUACCUGUGUAGUCCUAGCUGUAAACGAUGUCCGCUAGCUCUGUGUUUUUGCACGGGGUGUAAGCUAACGCGUUAAGCGGACCGCCUGGGGAGUACGGUCGCAAGACUAAAACUCAAAGGAAUUGACGGGGACCCGCACAACCGGUGGAGCGUGUGGUUUAAUUCGUUACAAAACGAAGAACCUCACCAGGGUUUGACAUGACACCGUACAUUUCCCAAGAAACUGGGAGAAAUCCGCAAGGAUGGUGCCACAGGUGCUGCAUGGCUGUCGUCAGCUCGUGCCGUGAGGUGUUCCCUUAAGUGGGGAAACGAGCGCAACCCUUGUCUAAUGUUAAAUAUUCAUUAGAGACGGUCCCGUGUUUUACACGGGAAGGAAGGAGAGGCGGACGUCAAGUCAGCAUGGUCCUUAUACCCUGGGCUACACACACACUACAAUGGCGAAUAACAACGUGUUGCUAGCUAGUAAUAGUAUGCUAAUCACUAAAAUUUCGCCUCAGUUCAGAUUGGGGUCUGAAACCCGACCCCAUGAAGUCGGAAUCGGUAGUAAUCGUGGAUCAGCAAGCCGCGGUGAAUACGUUCUCGGGUCUUGUACACACCGCCCGUCAAGGCAGCAAAGUCGGGGGUGGCCGAACUGCGCAUUUUGCGUGGGAGGCCAAAUUCGGCGAUGAGGCUUAAGUCGUAACAAGGUA